CUUUCCCCAAUCUGUGAAGUAGCUAAUAAUAUAGAACAGAAUGCUCAAGAGCAUGCUCUAAAGAAUGGUGACAUUUGUGAAACUUCGGGUAAACCAAAAACCACACCUAAAAGAAAACCUGCUAAGAAGAAUAAAAGCCAAAAGAAGAAUACUGCAGCUUCCUUACAACAGUGGAAAGUUGGGGACAAAUGUUCUGCCAUUUGGUCAGAAGACGGUUG
This 218-nucleotide small RNA is filed under the name Homo sapiens (human). The record is from RNAcentral. Lineage: Eukaryota; Metazoa; Chordata; Mammalia; Primates; Hominidae.